GGGCCGCACCCAUCACUAUGGAGACCCUGGAGUAUUUCAUGAGCCUUCGCCUCCCCUUGUAUGAGCUGUAUGGGAUGAGUGAAAGCACCGGCCCUCACACCAUCUCCUGGGAGAAUAACUUCAAGAUCAUGAGCUGUGGAAAGGUGGUGAAUGGCUGCCAGACAAAGUUGGACAAGCCAGACGAGGAUGGGAAUGGUGAGAUCUGUUUCUGGGGGCGUCAUGAGGCCUUGGACCAGGAGGGCUGGCUGCACUCUGGAGCAAGCACGAAAAGGACAACAUCCUGUUCAUCACAGGGAGGAUAAAGGAGCUGAUCAUAACAGCAGGAGGAGAGAAUAUUCCACCUGUGCCCAUUGAGGAUGCAGUGAAAGCAGAGACCGCCAUCAUCAGCAACGCCAUGUUGCUCGGAGACAAGCUCAAAUUCCUCUCUAUGAUGCUCACACUCAAAUGUGUAGUCGACGACAACGGGUAUACGACGGACGAGCUGACCCCAGAGGCCUUGGCGUUCUGCCAGCAGCGUGGUGUCAUGGAAACCAAGGCCUCUGAGAUUAUAGCCAGUAAGGAGCCAGCUGUUUACAAGGCCAUCCAGGAGGGCAUAGAGCUAAGGCCAACUCAAACGCCCAGAGG
Molecule: RNA transcript, 624 nt
Organism: Oncorhynchus tshawytscha (Chinook salmon)
Lineage: Eukaryota; Metazoa; Chordata; Actinopteri; Salmoniformes; Salmonidae
Gene name: long-chain-fatty-acid--CoA ligase ACSBG2-like
Exons: 4
Source: RefSeq, a predicted model, not a curated record